CGCAAGCAGGGCUAUAAUGCAGUCGAGCGACAGAUAAGGAGCUUGCUCCUUUGACGUUAGCGGCGGACGGGUGAGUAACACGUGGGUAACCUACCUAUAAGACUGGGAUAACUUCGGGAAACCGGAGCUAAUACCGGAUAACAUUUGGAACCGCAUGGUUCUAAAGUGAAAGAUGGUUUUGCUAUCACUUAUAGAUGGACCCGCGCCGUAUUAGCUAGUUGGUAAGGUAACGGCUUACCAAGGCGACGAUACGUAGCCGACCUGAGAGGGUGAUCGGCCACACUGGAACUGAGACACGGUCCAGACUCCUACGGGAGGCAGCAGUAGGGAAUCUUCCGCAAUGGGCGAAAGCCUGACGGAGCAACGCCGCGUGAGUGAUGAAGGGUUUCGGCUCGUAAAACUCUGUUAUUAGGGAAGAACAAAUGUGUAAGUAACUGUGCACAUCUUGACGGUACCUAAUCAGAAAGCCACGGCUAACUACGUGCCAGCAGCCGCGGUAAUACGUAGGUGGCAAGCGUUAUCCGGAAUUAUUGGGCGUAAAGCGCGCGUAGGCGGUUUCUUAAGUCUGAUGUGAAAGCCCACGGCUCAACCGUGGAGGGUCAUUGGAAACUGGGAAACUUGAGUGCAGAAGAGGAAAGUGGAAUUCCAUGUGUAGCGGUGAAAUGCGCAGAGAUAUGGAGGAACACCAGUGGCGAAAGCGACUUUCUGGUCUGUAACUGACGCUGAUGUGCGAAAGCGUGGGGAUCAAACAGGAUUAGAUACCCUGGUAGUCCACGCCGUAAACGAUGAGUGCUAAGUGUUAGGGGGUUUCCGCCCCUUAGUGCUGCAGCUAACGCAUUAAGCACUCCGCCUGGGGAGUACGACCGCAAGGUUGAAACUCAAAGGAAUUGACGGGGACCCGCACAAGCGGUGGAGCAUGUGGUUUAAUUCGAAGCAACGCGAAGAACCUUACCAAAUCUUGACAUCCUUUGAAAACUCUAGAGAUAGAGCCUUCCCCUUCGGGGGACAAAGUGACAGGUGGUGCAUGGUUGUCGUCAGCUCGUGUCGUGAGAUGUUGGGUUAAGUCCCGCAACGAGCGCAACCCUUAAGCUUAGUUGCCAUCAUUAAGUUGGGCACUCUAGGUUGACUGCCGGUGACAAACCGGAGGAAGGUGGGGAUGACGUCAAAUCAUCAUGCCCCUUAUGAUUUGGGCUACACACGUGCUACAAUGGACAAUACAAAGGGCAGCUAAACCGCGAGGUCAUGCAAAUCCCAUAAAGUUGUUCUCAGUUCGGAUUGUAGUCUGCAACUCGACUACAUGAAGCUGGAAUCGCUAGUAAUCGUAGAUCAGCAUGCUACGGUGAAUACGUUCCCGGGUCUUGUACACACCGCCCGUCACACCACGAGAGUUUGUAACACCCGAAGCCGGUGGAGUAACCAUUUAUGGAGCUAGCCGUCGACUAACAGGA
RNAcentral lists this ribosomal RNA (1448 nucleotides) under Staphylococcus sp. RNAcentral describes it as "bacterial SSU rRNA". It matches the Rfam family "Bacterial small subunit ribosomal RNA". Lineage: Bacteria; Bacillati; Bacillota; Bacilli; Caryophanales; Staphylococcaceae. The record is from RNAcentral.